This 253-nucleotide ribosomal RNA is filed under the name uncultured bacterium. RNAcentral's name for it is "partial 16S ribosomal RNA". It matches the Rfam family "Bacterial small subunit ribosomal RNA", at positions 524 to 776 of the family's 1533-position model. The record is from RNAcentral.
UACGUAGGGUGCGAGCGUUGUCCGGAUUUAUUGGGCGUAAAGAGCUCGUAGGCGGCUUGUCGCGUCGGAGGUGAAAUCCUGGAGCUCAACUCCAGAACUGCCUUCGAUACUGGGAAGCUUGAGUUCGGGAGAGGUGAGUGGAACUGCGAGUGUAGAGGUGAAAUUCGUAGAUAUUCGCAAGAACACCGGUGGCGAAGGCGGGUCUCUGGGCCGAUACUGACGCUGAGGAGCGAAAGCGUGGGGAGCGAACAGG